Molecule: ribosomal RNA, 279 nt
Filed under: uncultured bacterium
Lineage: Bacteria
Description: partial 16S ribosomal RNA
Rfam family: Bacterial small subunit ribosomal RNA
Source: RNAcentral
UGCCAGCAGCCGCGGUAAUACGAAGGGGGCGAGCGUUGUUCGGAAUUACUGGGCGUAAAGGGCGCGUAGGGGGUCUUUUAAGUUAGGCGUGAAAGCCCCGGGCUCAACCCGGGAACUGCGCUUAAUACUGGAAGACUAGAAAACGGAAGAGGGUAGUGGAAUUCCCAGUGUAGAGGUGAAAUUCGUAGAUAUUGGGAAGAACACCAGUGGCGAAAGCGGCUACCUGGCUCGAUACUGACGCUGAGGUACGAAAGUGUGGGGAGCAAACAGGAUUAGAUA